GAUGAACGCUAGCGGCAGGCUUAACACAUGCAAGUCGAGGGGCAGCGCGGGAUAGCAAUAUCCUGGCGGCGACCGGCGGAAGGGUGCGUAACGCGUGAGCGACAUGCCCGUUGCCCGGGGACAACCGGUGGAAACGCCGACUAAUCCCCGAUGGGAUAUUGUGCCGCAUGGCACGAUAUUGAAAGUUACGGCGGCGACGGAUUGGCUCGCGUCCGAUUAGCUUGUUGGCGGGGUAACGGCCCACCAAGGCUGCGAUCGGUAGGGGUUCUGAGAGGAAGGCCCCCCACAAUGGGACUGAGACACGGCCCAUACUCCUACGGGAGGCAGCAGUGAGGAAUAUUGGUCAAUGGGCGGAAGCCUGAACCAGCCAUGCCGCGUGCGGGAAGGAGGCCCUAUGGGCUGCGAACCGCUUUUGCCUGGGGGCAAUAAGGGCGUCGCGCACGUCCGAUGAGAGUACCAGGCGAAUAAGCAUCGGCUAACUCCGUG
RNAcentral lists this ribosomal RNA (486 nucleotides) under uncultured bacterium. RNAcentral describes it as "partial 16S ribosomal RNA". It matches the Rfam family "Bacterial small subunit ribosomal RNA", at positions 28 to 507 of the family's 1533-position model. The record is from RNAcentral.